UGGAUUUUCGUCGGGGGUGAUCCCUAUCAAGGUAUGUGAGUUCUUUGUGUGGGUUGAUCCUUUCCCCCACACACCAAGCUCAUUUUUAUGAUUUGAGAAAAGAUUGGAUUUGUUGUUGAAGUUGUUGGAAUUGUUGAAGUUGUUAGUUGUUGUUGAAAUUAUUGUUGGUAUUGUUGUUGAUUGUGAUGUUGAGAUUCUUGUUGAUUUGGGACUUGUUUCCAGUUGUGUUUUUGAGUUGAAUCUAUGGUAUAUUGAGG
Molecule: long non-coding RNA, 257 nt
Filed under: Solanum tuberosum (potato)
Lineage: Eukaryota; Viridiplantae; Streptophyta; Magnoliopsida; Solanales; Solanaceae
Description: long non-coding RNA (STUB_LNC001616)
Source: RNAcentral